RNAcentral lists this long non-coding RNA (984 nucleotides) under Citrus maxima (pomelo). RNAcentral's name for it is "long non-coding RNA (CMAX_LNC002888)". The record is from RNAcentral. Lineage: Eukaryota; Viridiplantae; Streptophyta; Magnoliopsida; Sapindales; Rutaceae.
CUCUCUUGCUUUCAGUUUUUGAAAUAGACUGUAUAUCUUUAUAUCUUAUCAGGCAUAAUUUGGUGAAAAAAUAUCUUUCCACGGAAGUUCUGCUUCUGUGAUUGGUUUGUUGAUAGGACAGCACUAUGAAUUGGGGAGUUGCCUCAACAAGUGAUUUUUCGUCAAUCUCCUUGUCCUUGAUAUCUGAAUCAAUUCACAGUGUCUUCUACCUGUGGAAGGUAGUUACAUGUUUCUUCAAAAACCAUCUGCUAAGCUCAUGCUUAUAUUUCUAUCCUUUUUAAUCUUACUUGGGUUGCUUUUACCAUUAGUCAAACCUUCUGUUUAAGCUCUAGCUUCAAUUUGAAAAUUGCUAAAACAAUUUUGCUAAUUUGAUAUUGAAAGUCUUGAUAGGCAUUUAUGUGGUUCAAGAUAAGUAUGAUAAACAUAUUUUCGGCUCCAGAACUCAUGAUUUCUGUGUUGAUUGUAAACAAGUAUAUAUAAUUUUACAGAUAUCUCCACCCUCAAGCACUGUGAGUGAUAUAACAGCUUAAAAGAUAAUACUGAAAAAUGACUGAUAUAAUCACCAGUUAGUCUAUAUAUAUAUAUAUAUAUAUAUGGAUGAAAAAGAGUAUAUAUGUGUGCAUUUAUGUUGAUGUUGUGUACGAUAUACUCAACAGACAAUAAGAACAAAGAUGGCAGAGUAUAUAAUUGACUCCCAAACCUGUAUCUUUUAGAAAACACACUCGUGAAUUAUACAUAAGAUUUAUAUUUUUAUGAUAAGGUUUUAUAAUGAGAGAUGAUUAAGAUCUGUUAUUGUAAGAAUAAUAUUAGAAUAUCUUCUGAAAUUAACAUUGAAAAGAAAUUGGUAUGGCUAAAUUGAUGAUAUUAAACAGAGGCACCUGCUCUGCAUGGUUGACCCCGUGUUGCAAGUUUUUGCUCAUGAUUUUGCCAGAUAUUGCACUAGAAAUUGUCCUCAGUGAGAGUCUGAUACUCCUUUCAUUUGAU